AUGCUGGUACAGGGGCCCAAGCACCUGGGCCAUCUUCUACUGCUUUCCCAGGCCGCAGCAGAGAGCUGGAUUGGAAGAGGAGCAGCUGGGACUAGAACCGGCGCCCAUAUGGGAUUCCAGCGCUUCAGGCCAGGGCUUUAUCCUGCUCACCACAGCACCGCCUCUCCCCCUUUUUUUUCCUUAAAGAUUUAUUUUAUUUGAAAGGCAGAGAGACAGAGGCGACAAAGAUCAUCCCUCUGAUGGGCCAAAGCAAGGAGCCCAGGACACAAUCUAGGUCUUCUACAUGGGUGGCGGGGACUCAAGUGCUUGAGCCAUCCCCUGCUGCCUCCCAGGAUGUGCACUAGCAUGAAGGAACUGGGUGUAGAACCGACACUCUAUCAUGGGAUGUGUUGUUCCAAGAGGCAUCGCAACCGCUGAGCCAGAUGCUUGCCUCGCAAGCUAAAUCUUACUGUCCUUCAAAGCGGGGUGGAGGUGGGGGGGAUGAGGAGGGCACUACAAGCUCUUCGUAAGAUGUCUUUCCUCAUAGUCCCAGUCUACAUUGUUCCUCGUGACUCUUUUAGCACAUAUUGUAUGCCACUGAAGUGUUGGCUUUUAAUGAAUUUUAAACCAUGUCUCAUUUCUCUAAUUAGACUACACACACAGGGGAGGCUUCCAUAAUACCACACCCAUGGAAAACAUUCCAGCUGAAUUGUAUCUGUGAAGAAGGGGCAGCGAAGGAAGACUGUCACUUAAAGGAAUGUUUGUAAAGGGUUCUGCUGCUUUCCUAGUUGCACUUGCAGGAACCGGAUAAGAAGUGGACCAGUCAGGGCUCGAACUGGCGCCCAUAUGGAAUGCUGGCAUUGUAGGCAACGGCCUAACCUGCUAUGCCACAGCGCCGGCCCCAUAAAGGGUAUAUUCUACCAUAGAUUCAUUUGAGUCUUCCAUUCAGGCAAGAUCCAUGCCUUCCACGUCUCUCAAAAUCCCAACAUUUUGGAACAGUUGUUUGGCACAGUGGUUAAAUGCUAUCUGGGACACUACGUUCCAUAUUGGAGUGCAAGGUUUGAGUUCCAGCUCCCUGCUAAUAUGCACCCUGGGAGGUAGCAAGUAAUGAUUCAAGUGGUUGGGUGCCUGCCACCCAUAUGGGAGACCUGGCUUGAGUUCUAGGUUCUCAGUUUUGGCUUGAACCAGUCCCAGCUAUUGUGGGCAAUUGAGGAGUGAACUA
RNAcentral lists this long non-coding RNA (1201 nucleotides) under Oryctolagus cuniculus (rabbit). RNAcentral's name for it is "lncRNA (ENSOCUG00000038678.1)". Lineage: Eukaryota; Metazoa; Chordata; Mammalia; Lagomorpha; Leporidae. The record is from RNAcentral.